RNAcentral lists this ribosomal RNA (468 nucleotides) under uncultured bacterium. Its description in RNAcentral is "partial 16S ribosomal RNA". It matches the Rfam family "Bacterial small subunit ribosomal RNA", at positions 28 to 507 of the family's 1533-position model. The record is from RNAcentral.
GACGAACGCUAGCGGCGUGCUUAACACAUGCAAGUCGAACGGAAAGGCCCUGCUUUUGCGGGGUGCUCGAGGGGCGAACGGGUGAGUAACACGUGAGUAACCUGCCUUUGACUUUGGGAUAACUUCAGGAAACUGGGGCUAAUACCGGAUAGGUGCUCGUGCUGCUUGGUGGGGGUCGGAAAGUUUAGGCGGUUGGGGAUGGACUCGCGGCUUACCAGCUUGUGGGUGGGGUAGCGGCUUACCAAGGCUUUGACGGGUAGCCGGCCUGAGAGGUCGAACGGCCACAUUAGGACUGAGGUACGGACCAGACUCCUACAGGAGACAACGGUAGGGAGUAUGACACAGUGGGCGGACGCCUGAUACAGCGACGCCGCGUGCGGGAUGACGGCCAUCGGGUUAUAAAGCGCUUUCACCUGUUACGUAGCGUGAGUGACGGUAAUGAGUGAAGAAGCACCGGCUAACUACGUG